UAGUGUUCUGUAGCACUGUAGGAUGAC
This 27-nucleotide non-coding RNA is filed under the name Homo sapiens (human). The record is from RNAcentral. Lineage: Eukaryota; Metazoa; Chordata; Mammalia; Primates; Hominidae.